AGAUUGCUACUAGUAAUAUGAAGAUGCUUGACAUCUCUCUGUAUCUAUUAGAAAAGUAUGUGUAUGAAACUGUGGUUUCUCAUGAUGCCUACUAUUUUAGAGGAGAGGUGGAGUCUUUAUAUGAACAGUUAGUCCAUACCUAUAAAGGCGCAAGCUUGAACCAUGGUCUCAAAUCAGGUAGGAAGACCCGCUGAACUUAA
This 200-nucleotide unclassified non-coding RNA is filed under the name soil metagenome. Its description in RNAcentral is "partial contains internal transcribed spacer 2 and large subunit ribosomal RNA". The record is from RNAcentral.